GAAAUGCGAUAAGUAGUGUGAAUUGCAGAAUUCAGUGAAUCAUCGAAUCUUUGAACGCACAUUGCGCCCCUUGGUAUUCCAUGGGGCAUGCCUGUUCGAGCGUCAUUUGUACCCUCAAGCUCUGCUUGGUGUUGGGUGUUUGUCCCCGUCUCCGCGCGUGGACUCGCCCCAAAGUGAUUGGCAGCCGGCGUACUGGUCCCGGAGCGCAGCACAUGUCGCGCAAACGAGUGCCUUGGUACGGCGGCGUCCAUAAGCCCCUCUCUCACGCUCUUGACCUCGGUUCAGGUAGGGAUACCCGCUGAACUUAAGC
RNAcentral lists this unclassified non-coding RNA (310 nucleotides) under plant metagenome. RNAcentral describes it as "partial contains 5.8S ribosomal RNA, internal transcribed spacer 2, and large subunit ribosomal RNA". The stretch from base 1 to 105 matches the Rfam family "5.8S ribosomal RNA", at positions 50 to 154 of the family's 154-position model. The record is from RNAcentral.